GUAACAAGGUUUCCGUAGGUGAAACUGCGGAAGGAUCAUUG
RNAcentral lists this ribosomal RNA (41 nucleotides) under Meliosma vernicosa. RNAcentral's name for it is "partial 18S ribosomal RNA". Lineage: Eukaryota; Viridiplantae; Streptophyta; Magnoliopsida; Proteales; Sabiaceae. The record is from RNAcentral.